AGUGAACGCUGGCGGUAUGCCUAACACAUGCAAGUCGAACGGCAGCGCAGUAAGAUCUUGCGCUUACGGGUGGCGGGUGGCGGACGGGUGAGGAAUACAUCGUAAUCUACUUUUUCGUGGGGGAUAACGUAGGGAAACUUACGCUAAUACCGCAUACUCCCUACGGGUGGAAGCAGGGGAUCUUCGGAGCUUUCGCGUUUGCAUGAGCCGAUGUCGCAUUAGCUGGUUGGCGGGGUAAAGGCAGACCAAGGCGACGAUCCGUAGCUGGUCUGAGAGGAGGGUCAGCCACACUAGAACGGAGACACGGUCCAGACUCCUACGGGAGGCAGCAGUGGGGAAUAUUGGAGAAUGGGCGCAAGCCUGAUCCAGCCAUACCGCGUGGGUGAGGAAGGCCUUCGGGGUGUAGAGCCCUUUUGUUGGGAAAGAAAAGCAGCAGGUUGAUACCCCGCUGUGCUGACGGUACCCAAAGAAGAAGCACCGGCUAACUUCGUG
Molecule: ribosomal RNA, 492 nt
Filed under: uncultured bacterium
Lineage: Bacteria
Description: partial 16S ribosomal RNA
Rfam family: Bacterial small subunit ribosomal RNA
Source: RNAcentral